CUACACCCUGGGCGCGGGCCAGGCGGUGUCCAAAGUCCUGUGGGAGAUCCUGAAGGACGAAGCACCGGCUGGAACCUUCGAGUGGAAGCCGAGCUCACCUGGGAUUGCCACAGGCCUACUGAAAGACAAGGUGAAUCUAGAGCGAGAUGACAGUGACCUAGAACUGACCACGCUGACCUAUGACCUGAGUGCGAACUACAGCUGCACCGUCAUUGCUAGUGAUGGCAGUUCAGCAAGUGCCGAGGACGAAAUAUUAAUCAUAGAUACUACUAGCAGACAUAUCUACCAUGGCGGCUACCCAAAUGAAGCCAACUGUAGCUUACAGGCUAGUGGCAGUUACUACCCAGUGUUUCCAGAACCGACUGUGUCCGCAGACUUCUUC
RNAcentral lists this long non-coding RNA (382 nucleotides) under Penaeus japonicus. RNAcentral's name for it is "uncharacterized LOC122258130". Lineage: Eukaryota; Metazoa; Arthropoda; Malacostraca; Decapoda; Penaeidae. The record is from RNAcentral.